AUUGAACGCUGGCGGCAUGCCUUACACAUGCAAGUCGAACGGCAGCACGGGAGCAAUCCUGGUGGCGAGUGGCGAACGGGUGAGUAAUAUAUCGGAACGUGCCCAGUCGUGGGGAUAACGUAGCGAAAGCUACGCUAAUACCGCAUACGAUCUACGGAUGAAAGCGGGGGAUCGCAAGACCUCGCGCGAUUGGAGCGGCCGAUAUCAGAUUAGGUAGUUGGUGAGGUAAAGGCUCACCAAGCCGACGAUCUGUAGCUGGUCUGAGAGGACGACCAGCCACACUGGGACUGAGACACGGCCCAGACUCCUACGGGAGGCAGGCAGUGGGGAAUUUUUGGACAAUGGGCGCAAGCCUGAUCCAGCAAUGCCGCGUGCAGGA
Molecule: ribosomal RNA, 379 nt
Filed under: uncultured bacterium
Lineage: Bacteria
Description: bacterial SSU rRNA
Rfam family: Bacterial small subunit ribosomal RNA
Source: RNAcentral